UUGCUUCACUUGAAAUCAUCCAUGAAUCAACCUGAAAUGCUGCUGAACUGAAAACCAAACCUCUCACCAAAGGAACUAUUUCAUUUUCACUCAAAUUUCUCAGAUCUGAAAUUCAACUAAAUCUGGUUGAAUUUCUAGAUCUAAAGUUCCUAGACCUUCAUCCUAUAGUCCAUUGUACUUCUGUUUGGCAAAAGGAAGCAAGGAAGCAAG
Molecule: long non-coding RNA, 210 nt
Filed under: Lathyrus oleraceus (garden pea)
Lineage: Eukaryota; Viridiplantae; Streptophyta; Magnoliopsida; Fabales; Fabaceae
Description: Pisum sativum (pea) long non-coding RNA (PSAT_LNC033358)
Source: RNAcentral